Molecule: long non-coding RNA, 5092 nt
Organism: Monodelphis domestica (gray short-tailed opossum)
Lineage: Eukaryota; Metazoa; Chordata; Mammalia; Didelphimorphia; Didelphidae
Source: RefSeq, a predicted model, not a curated record
UUCCUGUGAAAGGGUCUGGCACCUUCAACUUGACCCUGGGGGAGCUCCAGCUGAGGACCUUGGACUGCUUCUAUUUUCCCUUAGAACUACCUCGUGGGCUCUCUGAAAUUGGGGCAUAUGGAGUGAUCAGGAAAGAAGUCGAGUGUGAAGGCUUGCUGAGUCCUUUUUCAAGAACUGCUUUCCUUCUUUUGUGACCACCUGCUACCCAGUUCUCACCUAUGGCUCUAAGAAGCUAUAGCAUGCACAGCAUCCACGCCCUGGUAAAAACCAUUUCCACAGAUAGGCUAAACCAAGUUGAGGAUUACUGACAGCCUUUAAACCCCCUAGUGAGUUAGUGGAGAGUCUAAUCUAAGCAUAUGAAGAUUUCCCUAUCCAUAAAGGCAGAUGUGAAUAAUUUGCUCCAAUGGGCUAUGAAGUGAAGCAGGUGUGAUGGAGCACUUGGAGCUUGGUUAGACACUGAAGAAGCCAAGGUCAUCCACUGAAUCCUGAACAAUCACCAGUCAUCUUGAGAAGAGAGAGAGUGAAGCCAACAACUUCAAGCAAUUCUGCCUCACUCAAAUACAAUUUAUUCUUGGAUCAAAAGACAUCAAACAUACCAUUUUACAUUUUACUAUUUACCUAUCUCAUUAUUUUACUCCUGCCUCAGAGACCUGUGGUAAUGGGCAGAUGACAAGUAAUAGUUAAAGAUACCCUGGGACCUGUAGUCACAACCAUGUACCCAGAUGACUCAGAUUAUAGAGUCCUUUUCUCACUGGACUGAAGAAGCAGGGGGAUUUGGCAGCCCCCUGGGUGUAUGAGAAGUCUUUUUUUUUAAGGAUCACACUGCUUAGUUUUUGGCAUGAGGAAGAAAAUUGAAAAUGUGCCCUAAAAAUAAUCUGUUUCACUCAUCUAAUUCUGGAUUGCUUGCUUUGGCAGGUGGAGAUCCUAUCCUGCAGUCGAAAUACAAAAAAAAAAUGUACAGAAACUUUGCUAAGAUGAUUCCACUUACCACUGGUACAUAUGGACAUUAAGACCAGUACACCUGAAUGACAAACAGCUCUUGUUGCUAGAGAACCCUUCAGAUAUCACAUCCAAAUAGCAGCUUUGAAUGAAACCAAGCUGGCAAAUGAAGACCAGUUUACCAAAGUCAGAGUUGGAUCCAUAUUUUUCUGGAGUAGCCACUGAUGAAGAGCACUGUGAAGCUGGCAUGAAUUUUGCAAUCAAAUAUAAUUUAGUCAACAAGCUUGUAGGUCUUCCAAAAAGAGUGAACAGACUCAUGACAACAUGAUUGUCACUUGCAGGAAAGUGUCAUGUCACCAUCAUCAGUGUGUAUGUCUCUACCAUAAUGAACCCUGAGAAGGACACAAAAAAAUUUUAUGAAGACCCUCAUGAAUAGGGUGCCAAAAGAGGAUAAAUUUGUGAUUAUGGGUGACUUUAAAGCCAGAGUAGGUGCAGACUAUCAGAUAUGGCAGGAAAGAAUGGAGUUGGUAGCAGUAACAGCAACUGUCACUUUAUACUGAAGACAUACAUCUCAUGACUUUCUCAUCACCAACUGCCUUCAAUUUACCUAAAUACAAGGAAAUUUCAUAGAUACAGCCUUGAAGCAAACAUUGGCAUUUAAUAGAUUAUAUCACUGUAAGUAGAAGAGGAAAAAUGUGAGAGUGUAAAAGACUAUGUGUGGUACAGAGUCCUAGACAGAUCAUAGACUUAUCUUCUCUGUGAUGUGUGGUACAGAGUGCUGGACAGAUCAUAGGCUUAUCUUCUCAAAGCUAAACAUUCACAUUCAAUAAAAGUGGUGGGCCCAAGGCAAAAAAUUACUAGAAGACUAAAUGUCAAUAAAUUAGAGGGCUUCUCACUACAUGAACAAUUUGUUGCUGGCUUGGAGGGAAAGCUAAGCCAAUAUAUGGUUAGCAUCAGUGGAGCAGAGAAGAGCUGGGCUGUUCAACACAUUUGAUGUACAGCACCAUACUUUAACACUUUUGGACCAGAAUACUCGCAAACAUCAGGAUCAGUUUGAUGAAAAUGAGGGGGAAGUUCAGAAGCUAUUAAAUGAAAAAUAUGAACUCCACAGGGUUUACAAGCAGGAAAGUUCAUCAGUCUCUAAGAAGGCAAAGUUUAACUCCAUCAAAAGUAAAGUAUAAACAGAGCUUAGAGAGAGGUAGGACUCUUAGCUCAGUAAGAAAACAAAUGAAAUUCAGUUUUGCAAUGAUGGUAACAACCCAAAGUGCUGUUAUGAUGCCCUGAAGACUAUUUAUGGGCCAAAGACUUAAUGGUACAUCUCAGCUGCUCAGCACUGAUGGAACCACACUGAUCACUGACAAGGAAAUGAUCCUGGAGCUGGCUGACUGGACACUUUGAUAGUGUUCUUAUAAAUGACCAUCAUCAACCAUUGUUGAAACCAUUGACCAUAUAUCUCAGAUUUAAGUCAACCCCUCUCUAGCCACAAUUCCAAAUGAGAAAAAUGUUUUUUUAAAAAACCAACCCUUUCUUUCUGUCUUAGAAUCAAUACUGUGUAUGGGUUCCAAGACAGAGGAGCAGUAAGGGAUAGGAAAUAGGGGUUAAGUGACUUCCCCAGGAUCACACAGCUAGGAAGAGAUCAUAUUCGAAUCCCAUCUCUAGCCCUGGUUCUCAAUUCAUUGAAACACUUUGCUGCCCCCUGAGGAAAAGAUUUUGAAUCCUAUUAGACUUCUCUCUCAUGGAAAAGCACUUUGUGCUGAUUCCAUAUGAAUUGAUUCCCUGCUGCUUCUGCUAACUUGGGGCUGACAAUUAGCACCAAAAAAGAAAGAAAGAAAGAAAAAAAAACAACAAACCCAACAACAACUGAGGCCUUCCACCAACUAGCACCAUACAACCCAUAUGUGGAAUAAUUGGUUACAGCAAAUAAAAAGACUUUGAAUAGUAUUAUGUGAAUUAUUCCAGCAGACUCACUUCAUUAGGCAGUACACCAUUGAGUUAUGUGACUGAGUUGCUACAUGGCAACCUGAUGCCCUGACUCAGAAGUCCCCAUGGGUGAUGCAUCAGAAAUUUUAGGCCUGGGAACUUGGCCUGAAGUAAAAACUGUUCAAUUAGAGACUCCAAGGAAAAAGGGAAAGAAUAGCUUUAUAAGCCAGCAUAGAGAAGUGCAAGGGUUUUUGAGUUGUUUUUUUUUUUCAUCUAGGACCAGAGCCAGUGCUGUCUCCUUGGCCUAAUCUUGAUGGCCUUAUCUUACCUGGCCAAGCAAUCUUGGCCUGCCUCUGCUUUCACUGAGGGUCUUGCAGUUUGGCAAGGGACCCACUCUCUGUCCAAUCUGGAACAUUUACCAUUUGACAGGCACGAACAUUAUCUUAUCUGAACAGGUGAUCUUGGCCAGGCUUGGGCUAGGGCCAGGAGCUGGAGCUGAAGAAACAUGGUGCAGCUUGGAGAUAUUUUGUUUUGUCUUUUAGUUAGGGUGACCAGGUGAUCUUUCUCUAUCUCUCACCAACUUUUACUUUUAUUUAUCUUGGCAGUAUACUUUCUAGGAAUAUAAACCCAGAGGAUGAGGUUGAUGCACAUGUUGCCUCAGCUAGAUCAGUAAUUGGGAAACAUGGGAGAGAAGAGGUAUUGGGGCUGCCUACCACUUCCAUCUCAAUUGUCUUAGAAAGAUUCUGAAGAUCACCUGGCAUGAUAAGGUACAGGACACUGAGGUCCUUUUUUAAGCUGAAAAACAGUGCUAGAGAGAGUACAACUCUGAUGGGUAGGUCACAUUGUUCAAUACCAAAAGCACAUUUGUCUAAAAGACUAUUUAUGAAAACUCACACAAAGCAAAUGCUCACGUAGAAGUCAGAAGAAGAAAGACUUGAACAGUCUAAAGGUCUUUCUGGAGAGUGAGACACAGGAGACAUUGGCACAGGACUGUCUAGCAUGGCAUGCCUGCCUCAAAGGAGAAGAAGGAGCAAAGCAGGAUUUCAGUAGCUCAAAAGAAAUGUAAGCUAGGCAAAUUUAGAGACAUCUGCAUCCCAAAUGUUCACACAGGCUAUUUGUGCCCAGCCCACAGUAGAGCCUUCAGAGCCUGUAUCAGUCUGAUUGGCCACCAUCAGACAUAGUGUAUGUUGACCCCAACAUAAUGAUAUUAUUUUGAUAUUCUUAGUGUAUAACAACAACCAUCAAAUCUCUGAAAUUACACUUCCUUUGACUAUUCUAAAAAUAUAGUUGAAAUCAAAAUGUAGAUUAUUUGGAGUUGUUUUUUUUUUAACCCUUACUCUGUCUUGGAGUCAGUACUAAGUAUUGGUCCCAAGGCAAAAGAGUGGUGAGAGCUAGGCAACUAGGGGGUAAGUGACUUGCCCAGGAUCACACAUCUAGGAAGUAUCUGAGGCCAUAUUUGAAGGCUGGGCUUCCCAUCUCCAAGCCCUGGUGCUCUAUCUACUGAAUCACCUAGCUGCCCCAACACUUUUGGUUUUGCUAAUUUCACAUUACAUCAUCUUUCCAUGUUUCCUUCCAUGUUUCAUAUUUAUCAUUUUUGUGAUACCAUAAUUUAUUACAAUAAUAUGAUAUAAUUUAUUCAUCCAUUCUCCAAUCAAUGGUCAUAUAAGAUGUUUCCAGCUUUUGACUAUUACAGAGAAAGUAGAUGUGAAUAUUUUUGCACAUAGAGGUCUUUUCUUCCUUCUGAUUUUUUUUUUAGGAACAGUUCUAGCAAUCACUCAAGAAUUAUGAUUAGUUCUGUGACUUAUUGUAUUCUGUCAUAUUGUUCUCCAAAAUGUUUUCACUACUCUAUAGUCUUUCUAACAAUGCAGAACACCUAUUUCUACAUUGCCCUGACAACAUAGAAUUUUAAUCUUUUUUUUCUUAAAUUUUUCCUUGUUAAAGGAUACAAAGUAGUUUCAUAAGAUUAUCAUGAUUUUCAUUUUAUCACCAGGAAAUUUUAACAUCGAGCAUGUAUUUCCUGCUUUCAAAAUUAUCCAUGUCCUUUGACUAUUAUUCAUUUGAGAAAUAUGUUUUUCUUUUAGUCAUAUUUGUAGCAGUCCUGAUAGAUGUUGGAUGUUAAGCCUUCAUUUACAUAUAUUCAUAUAUAUCCUAUAUAUAGGAGUAAUUUUCUACUCUCUCAUUACCCUUACUUUCACUCUUUCUCCUUUUGUAAAUAAAUUGUAAUAAAAAGUCA